AGAGCGAACGCUGGCGGCAGGCCUAAUACAUGCAAGUCGAACGGAUCCUUCGGGAUUAGUGGCGGACGGGUGAGUAACACGUGGGAACGUGCCCUUUGGUUCGGAACAACUCAGGGAAACUUGAGCUAAUACCGAAUGUGCCCUUCGGGGGAAAGAUUUAUCGCCAUUGGAGCGGCCCGCGUCUGAUUAGCUAGUUGGUGAGGUAAAGGCUCACCAAGGCGACGAUCAGUAGCUGGUCUGAGAGGAUGAUCAGCCACACUGGGACUGAGACACGGCCCAGACUCCUACGGGAGGCAGCAGUAGGGAAUCUUGGACAAUGGGGGAAACCCUGAUCCAGCCAUGCCGCGUGAGUGAUGAAGGCCUUCGGGUUGUAAAACUCUUUCGCGCACGACGAUAAUGACGGUAGUGCGAGAAGAAGCUCCGGCUAACUUCGUGCCAGCAGCCGC
RNAcentral lists this ribosomal RNA (446 nucleotides) under uncultured bacterium. Its description in RNAcentral is "SSU rRNA". It matches the Rfam family "Bacterial small subunit ribosomal RNA", at positions 26 to 518 of the family's 1533-position model. The record is from RNAcentral.